CAUGUCUUUUUGAUUAUAAUUUAAGGUUUAACCUGCUCAAUGAUUAUUUAAAUUGCCGCAGUAUUUUGACUGGGCAAAGGUAGCAUAAUAAUUAGUUUUUUUAUUGAAAGCUGGAAUGAAUGGUUGGACGAGAAAAUUUCUGUCUCUUAUUUAUUUUUUUUUGAAUUUUAUUUUUAAGUUAAAAAGCUUAAAUUUUUUUAAAAGACGAGAAGACCCUAUAGAGUUUUAUUUUUUUAGUGGUUUUUAUUUUUUUUGUAUUUAAAUGUUUAAUUAUUUAAAAUAAUUUGGUUGGGGUGACUUUAAGAUUUAAUUAACUCUUUUAAUUUAAUAUCAUUGAUUUAUGAAUUGUUAAUCUAUAUUUUUAAUUUUAAAUUAAAUUACCUUAGGGAUAACAGCGUAAUUUUUUUUUAAAGUUCUUAUUUAAAGAAAAGUUUGCGACCUCGAUGUUGGAUUAAAAUUUGAUUUUGGUGCAGAAGCUUAAAAUCUAAGUCUGUUCGACUUUUAAAAUUUUACAUGAUCUGAGU
RNAcentral lists this ribosomal RNA (524 nucleotides) under Flabellotreta sp. UPOL 000M34. Its description in RNAcentral is "partial 16S ribosomal RNA". The stretch from base 388 to 524 matches the Rfam family "Archaeal large subunit ribosomal RNA", at positions 2542 to 2679 of the family's 2987-position model. The record is from RNAcentral. Lineage: Eukaryota; Metazoa; Arthropoda; Insecta; Coleoptera; Lampyridae.